Molecule: ribosomal RNA, 485 nt
Filed under: uncultured bacterium
Lineage: Bacteria
Description: bacterial SSU rRNA
Rfam family: Bacterial small subunit ribosomal RNA
Source: RNAcentral
AGAUUGAACGCUGGCGGAAUGCUUUACACAUGCAAGUCGAACGGCAGCACGGGGCAACCUGGUGGCGAGUGGCGAACGGGUGAGUAAUACAUCGGAACGUGCCCAAUCGUGGGGGAUAACGUAGCGAAAGUUACGCUAAUACCGCAUACGAUCUACGGAUGAAAGCGGGGGAUCGCAAGACCUCGCGCGAAUGGAGCGGCCGAUGUCAGAUUAGGUAGUUGGUGGGGUAAAGGCUCACCAAGCCAACGAUCUGUAGCUGGUCUGAGAGGACGACCAGCCACACUGGAACUGAGACACGGUCCAGACUCCUACGGGAGGCAGCAGUGGGGAAUUUUGGACAAUGGGCGCAAGCCUGAUCCAGCCAUUCCGCGUGCAGGAUGAAGGCCUUCGGGUUGUAAACUGCUUUAGUCUAGGAAAAAGGGGUGCGAGGUUAAUACCCUCGUGCUUUGAUGGUACUGGAAGAAUAAGCACCGGCUAACUACGUG